RNAcentral lists this ribosomal RNA (332 nucleotides) under uncultured bacterium. RNAcentral describes it as "bacterial SSU rRNA". It matches the Rfam family "Bacterial small subunit ribosomal RNA", at positions 72 to 422 of the family's 1533-position model. The record is from RNAcentral.
AGCCACCUUCGGGUGGUGGACAGUGGCAGACGGGUGAGUAACGCGUGGGAACGUGCCUUUCGGUUCUGGAUAACCCAGGGAAACUUGGGCUAAUACCGGAUACGCCCUUCGGGGGAAAGAUUCAUUGCCGAAAGAUCGGCCCGCGUCGGAUUAGCCAGUUGGUGGGGUAAUGGCCUACCAAGGCGACGAUCCGUAGCUGGUCUGAGAGGAUGACCAGCCACACUGGGACUGAGACACGGCCCAGACUCCUACGGGAGGCAGCAGUGGGGAAUAUUGGACAAUGGGCGAAAGCCUGAUCCAGCCAUGCCGCGUGGGUGAAGAAGGCCUUAGGG